GACGAACGCUGGCGGCGUGCUUAACACAUGCAAGUCGAACGAGAAUCUACUGACGGAGUUUUCGGACAACUGAAGUAGAGGACAGUGGCGGACUGGUGAGUAACGCGUGAGGAACCUGCCUUUCAGAGGGGGACAACAGUUGGAAACGACUGCUAAUACCGCAUGACGCAUUCGGAUGGCAUCAUCUGAAUGCCAAAGAUUUAUCGCUGAAAGAUGGCCUCGCGUCUGAUUAGCUAGUUGGCGGGGUAACGGCCCACCAAGGCGACGAUCAGUAGCCGGACUGAGAGGUUGACCGGCCACAUUGGGACUGAGAUACGGCCCAGACUCCUACGGGAGGCAGCAGUGGGGAAUAUUGGGCAAUGGGCGCAAGCCUGACCCAGCAACGCCGCGUGAAGGAAGAAGGGCUUUCGGGUUGUAAACUUCUUUUAAGAGGGAAGAGCAGAAGACGGUACCUCUAGAAUAAGCCACGGCUAACUACGUGCCAGCAGCCGCGG
RNAcentral lists this ribosomal RNA (494 nucleotides) under uncultured bacterium. Its description in RNAcentral is "bacterial SSU rRNA". It matches the Rfam family "Bacterial small subunit ribosomal RNA", at positions 28 to 520 of the family's 1533-position model. The record is from RNAcentral.